GCUCUCUUUGGCUGUGCUUAUACUACAACUGGAAUAAUAUGGAGAAGAUCAGCAUGGCUCCUGUGCAAGGAUGCAUGCAAAUUCGUGAAGUGUUACAUAUUUUU
Small nuclear RNA from Bison bison bison, 104 nucleotides. NCBI's taxonomy places the organism in Eukaryota, Metazoa, Chordata, Mammalia, Artiodactyla, Bovidae. The record is from Ensembl.